GCCUCUGGACAUCGAGUCAACCUACAAAAAUCAUCGAUCUUCUUCGGGAAGGGUUGUCAAGAGGAGAAGAAAACGGAGCUCAAAACCACACUUGGUGUGCAGUCCGAAGCUUUGAGUGAGAGAUACCUGGGUCUCCCAACAUUAGUUGGAAGAUCAAAAUAUGGUACUUUCAAAUAUGUAACUGAAUCCUCAAAAGGAAAGGUUAGUGGAUGGAAGGGACAAGGUUUGUCAAAGGCUGUGAGAGAGGUUCUUGUCAAGUCGGGCCUCCAGGCGGUACCUACCUUCACCAUGAGCUGCUUUCGCCUUACAAAGAAGAUGUGCGGGAAUCUGACUUCUAUCUCUUCGAAAUUCUGGUGGAGCGCAGCGAAUGGGGAGAGGAAGGUGCACUGGAUCUCCUGGCAAAAAAUGUGUGCAGCAAAAAGAGACGGAGCCAUGGGGUUUAGAGACUAUGAAGUUUUCAACCAAGCUCUGCUCGCGAAACAGGCUUGGCGGAUUCUCCAGGCCCCUACUUCUCUAUGUGCGAGGGUUCUCAAAGCAAGGUAUUUUAAGGAGGACUCGAUCCUCACAGCGACCUGCUCUCAACGGCAUCAUAUACUUUCAGAAGUAUCCUGCAUGGUCGUGAUCUUCUUAGAGAAGGGCUGA
RNAcentral lists this ribosomal RNA (642 nucleotides) under Triticum aestivum (bread wheat). Its description in RNAcentral is "partial small subunit ribosomal RNA". Lineage: Eukaryota; Viridiplantae; Streptophyta; Magnoliopsida; Poales; Poaceae. The record is from RNAcentral.